Molecule: long non-coding RNA, 1225 nt
Organism: Dicentrarchus labrax (European seabass)
Lineage: Eukaryota; Metazoa; Chordata; Actinopteri; Moronidae
Exons: 2
Source: RefSeq, a predicted model, not a curated record
UGUCAGUCCAGCCGUCGUCUCGUGGCCCUGCGCUGGAUAACGCUAUCAGACGGUCUGAUCUCUGGAGGGCCCGCCGGGAAGCUCUUCAGGGCUGGGCCUUCCGAUCCAGAGCAGAGGAGAUGAAAACAGCUCAGUCUCGGCGCUCUUCCUGCCAGCUGGCUUGAUACUUGAGCCGGUGUCAGGUUGACAUGCUCCAAAACAGCACAUGCUCCCUGGCCUCUCCCCUCCUUUUCCUCUCACUCUGUCCUCCCUGCGCUCUGGGCCAUAAGCCAGGUCGACCCUGGCCCUGCCUGGCAUACGGCGGAGCGGGAGCCUGUGCUUGUGUGUCCUCUGCGUGGACCCGCGAAGGACACACUGUGCUGGCUAGCACCGGACCAACCGUGGCGGACGGGGCGGCGGCAGGGGUGGGGGAGCUGCUGAUGAGAGCCCCUACAGCCCGAAUCACCUGGGGAUUCCCUGUGACUAAACCUGUGCUGCAGGAGCGACUGCAGCAUACACACACACAACUGCUGAUACAUCAAAAUUCCCUGAUAGCCUGCAGCACAGUGUGUGCACGGCUGACUUACCAUCUGCGAGGAAACAAAGAGCUAAGCGGUGGGACACUGCUGACACACUGGGUAUUUUGUCCUUAAAUAAUACUUCUGUCUUUUGCCAACGGAUGGGAUUUAAACUACAUAUCUCUCACGCAGCCACUAUUUUUCUCUGUUUUGAUUCUUUAUGAGUGGCAAUCUCUAAACAAAAGUUUAACUGAAUGUGAACGAAGACAAAAGGAACAACAGUGCACUCUUGUGGUGUGGCACAGGAGGCCACAACUAGACCAAAGGCGACAGAGUCAAUCCUACAUGAUGGUAGGGAAAUACUAUAUCAAUUAAUUGAUCCUGACAAGUGCAAAGCAUUUUGUCCUACACUGCUGGUUUUAGAAGUGUCCUUAUUAUGAUGAAUAUGAAAUAUAGUGUAAUCUGAUGUCAGUGUGCUAUAUACACAGUAGGCCAAUAUAUCAGAGUCCUGCAUUAGAAAGGUAAGCACAACCAAAGAGCUAACAGAAAAGCUAAAGAAAACACUGAAUUUGUCAAGAAAGAAACCUUUUAAGUCGGUCAGAUUGUUAGAAAUUAAAUAAAAUUAUAUAAUACAGACAGAGAAUUGAAUAAAAAGUUUCUAAAAAUAUCAAGAAAACUCAUCUCUGAUUAAUAUUCACAGGAAAUAAAAUCUCAUUUAUACAAACUUC